UACGUAGGGCGCAAGCGUUGUCCGGAAUUAUUGGGCGUAAAGAGCUCGUAGGCGGCCUGUUGCGUCCGCUGUGAAAUCCCGGGGCUCAACCCCGGGCCUGCAGUGGAUACGGGCUGGCUAGAGGCAGGCAGGGGAGAGCGGAAUUCCUGGUGUAGCGGUGAAAUGCGCAGAUAUCAGGAGGAACACCGGUGGCGAAGGCGGUUCUCUGGGCCUGUACUGACGCUGAGGAGCGAAAGCGUGGGGAGCGAACAGG
RNAcentral lists this ribosomal RNA (253 nucleotides) under uncultured bacterium. Its description in RNAcentral is "partial 16S ribosomal RNA". It matches the Rfam family "Bacterial small subunit ribosomal RNA", at positions 524 to 776 of the family's 1533-position model. The record is from RNAcentral.